UUUGGAAGGGCGUGGGCGUUACCCUUAAGAUAGCGGGUCAGGUUCGGAAGAAAGCAGCCCAGCUUUUGUUUGACGGGUCAUGUUCCCUUCCACUUAU
RNAcentral lists this signal recognition particle RNA (97 nucleotides) under Alphaproteobacteria bacterium. RNAcentral describes it as "signal recognition particle sRNA small type". It matches the Rfam family "Bacterial small signal recognition particle RNA". From Rfam's summary of the family: The signal recognition particle (SRP) is a universally conserved ribonucleoprotein involved in the co-translational targeting of proteins to membranes. Archaeal SRP consists of a 7S RNA and homologues of the eukaryotic SRP19 and SRP54 proteins. The record is from RNAcentral. Lineage: Bacteria; Pseudomonadati; Pseudomonadota; Alphaproteobacteria.